CUGAUUCUCCCUUUCUUCUUCAGUGCAAAACACGAAGAGAUGAUUGAGCCAACGGUAAACCCCUCUCCACUAUCUCUCUUCCUCCACCUCUUCCUUCUUCUUCAUCUUCUUCUCCAAAACCCACAUAGACAAAACAACCACCACAACCUCCUUCCGCUUGAUUUCCGAUCCCUCCAUCUCUCCUUCUCCGGCAGGUUUUCCCACCACACAAUCGCCAUAGCCAUAAAGGAAGCCACAGAAGUAAACAUUCAUUUUUUUUCAUCCCCAAUUUUAUGUACGCUAACUCGAUCCCCCCUUUGCAAAUCAGAAAUCUUCUUCUAACGACUCAUCCCCCAGAUUUCCCAGUCUCGCAUCGCGAAAGUUUCUCUUCUCCGUUUCUUGGUUAUCGCCGCCCUAUCCUUAUCCGUCUCCGGAGACGGCAUCAAUUGUAGUGUCCCAAUAAGCCAGGGAAUAACCACCACCACC
This 465-nucleotide long non-coding RNA is filed under the name Linum usitatissimum (flax). RNAcentral describes it as "long non-coding RNA (LUSI_LNC006186)". Lineage: Eukaryota; Viridiplantae; Streptophyta; Magnoliopsida; Malpighiales; Linaceae. The record is from RNAcentral.